This 404-nucleotide ribosomal RNA is filed under the name uncultured bacterium. Its description in RNAcentral is "partial 16S ribosomal RNA". It matches the Rfam family "Bacterial small subunit ribosomal RNA", at positions 29 to 526 of the family's 1533-position model. The record is from RNAcentral.
AUUGAACGCUGGCGGCAGGCCUAACACAUGCAAGUCGAGCGAGCGGCGGACGGGUGAGUAAUGCCUGGGAAUUGCCCAGUCGAGGGGGAUAACAGUUGGAAACGACUGCUAAUACCGCAUACGAUUGGAUUGCCCAGGUGGGAUUAGCUAGUUGGUGAGGUAAUGGCUCACAAAGGCGACGAUCCCUCGCUGGUCUGAGAGGAUGAUCAGCCAAACGGGAACUGGGAAACGGUCCAGACUCCUACGGAGGGCAGCAGUGGGGAAUAUGGCAAAAUGGGGGAAGCCCGGAUGCAGACAGGCCGGGUGGGGGAAGAAGGCCUUCGGGUUGUAAAGCACUUUCAGCGAGGAGGCGUUACUCGCAGAAGAAGCACCGGCUAACUCCGUGCCAGCAGCCGCGGUAAUUC